Long non-coding RNA from Haplochromis burtoni (Burton's mouthbrooder), 1464 nucleotides. RefSeq lists it as uncharacterized. The record is from RefSeq and is a predicted model, not a curated record. Lineage: Eukaryota; Metazoa; Chordata; Actinopteri; Cichliformes; Cichlidae. The transcript has 4 exons.
GUCAUUGGACGUUCCAGUAGAAACAACGGACGGAGGAAUGUGAGCUAUGCAGCUCUCUGAUUGGUUAGAGAGAGAGCGCGUCACCAGAGUUACUUACGCUCUAGUGUCUUGUUGCGCUGCAGAGUACAGGCUGUUGUUCCUGCACGUGGCGUGUUAUUCACACUUGUAAAAUCUCCAGCUGUGACAUAUGAAGAAUAAGAAGUGACAGUAGAGCGACACAGAGUCUUUAUCCUCACAGUGCAGCGGUGGAUUCAGCCUGUUUAAGCAGGAGGAUCAGUGAGUCCUGAGGCUGUGCUACCAACCAGGAUUUCAUCUGAUCCAGAACCUUAAAUGUGUGAAGAAAUCACCUAAGACACAGAGAUGCCCACAUUUCUGCUACUGUUAGCACUUUGUGCUCUCAUCUAACAAGUGAUAUCCUGUCAUAUCAGUCGACUCAGCUUCUCUUUUAAACUAUGUAACACUCAUGAAUUUGGGAUCUGCAGGACAACCUGAGAUGGAUACUUGCAAAUCUGUGAUAUUCUGCUGGAUUCUGCAUGUCUGCUUUUCCCCGGCUGCAUAUACAGGUGAGACCAGCAGGUAUCACUGCUGGGAAUUGAAUUGCUUUCAUUGUCACUUUAUAUAUAUAUACAAUUUAAAUUAUUACAUUCAAAAUAAUUAUAAAGCUCAUUUACACCACGUUCACAUGUAUCAGCAGCACAUUUGGUCUGCUGAUAGGAGGGACAGAGGGAAGUACUGAAUAGUUGUUGCUGAGCAGUGAUGUUUCAUGGGAUGAUGACACAGCAGACUUUUCCCAUAGUUACUCACACACAUAUUAUGUGAAAAUUGUAAAGACUGACCAAAAGGUAACAAAAAUAGUGCCAAUAAUCUUGAUGAUGAUAGAAAUAAGAGACAGGUUUGUAUAAUAAUUCAGAGGCUGUCCACCUUCAUAGUAAUCAGAUAACGAGUCAACCAUUUAAAGUGAUCAGUGUUUGCCGUCCUGUAGCUGUGAGCUCAUCUCCUGGUAAAGAUGACGAAGAUGAUGCUCAGUGUGGUGAAAGCUUUCAUCAGAGCUCUGAUCUUUGAUCUUCGCUGAUCCUGGUUUCUUCUGUGUGUAACCUGAACGAGGGACAAGUGCUGCCAACACAGCAUUAAUGUGUGCUGUUUAAGUUGGUAUUGUUUAUGACAGCAUUUUAUAAUGACUGUAAGUGCAUUUAUCAUUUUCCACACACAUCCACAGCUCCAGCAGACUGUGAACACUAGUUGUUGAUAUAGAUAUAGAUUAGAUAUAGAUAUAUAGAUAUAAAUUUGUUAUUCCCAGAAGUUUGCAGCUCUAAUGUGGAUAAAAUUCCUCUCAGGUGAAAAUAGUGGACACAUAUUAGCAUUAAGGGCGUGUCUUACAUGUAAUUAAUCAGUUUGUAUAGUUAUGGUAGUGAAUCUACAGGGAGUGCAGAAUUAUUAGACAAGUUGUAUUUUUGAGGAAUAAUG